GAGAUUUCAAUGUUAAUAGAGAGAAAACUUGCUAGGGUUAUAUGUCAUCAUUAUGUAUUUAUCAUAUGAAAAUAUAGGUUAGUAAUAUGAUCCUGUAGCGGUAUUCGUGAUUCUGUAGCGUUAUUCAUGAGAAAACUUGCUAGGGUUAUAUGUCAUCAUUGUGUAUUUAUCAUAUGAAAGUAAAUAGGUUAGUAAUAUGUAUUCAUGAUCAUUAGGCUAUGGAUAAACUUAACGUCAAUAAAAUCAGAGUCGCCACCGCGCUUUUAUUGUUUCCA
Molecule: long non-coding RNA, 275 nt
Filed under: Lathyrus oleraceus (garden pea)
Lineage: Eukaryota; Viridiplantae; Streptophyta; Magnoliopsida; Fabales; Fabaceae
Description: Pisum sativum (pea) long non-coding RNA (PSAT_LNC027217)
Source: RNAcentral